UCUAUGGAUGAAUUCCAUAUGUACAGACUUUUUUAUGCUAUGACAUUCGUAUGACCACUUUUAUGAGAAAAGAAAAAACAAUAUGAUAAUGUUUUGUUUGAAAUUGGUAAGAUAUGAUAGUUGUCAUUUAUUGUACACGAUUGAGAUAUUCUGUGGACUUAAAAACCUUGAGAAUGAUUAACUAACUGUAGUUGGAAUGCCUAUGCACAACAUAUUAUGCACAGGUUAUGCUAAGUUGUGAAAAGUUAUGUUACGAUAAACCAGUCAUUAAGCUAAAUCAUACUUAUUAUCAAGGAUUACAAUCCUAUGUUAUGUGCGUAAGCUAAAAAUAAAGAUAAAUGGAUCAUAUUUUAAUCAUGUUACAUAUUAUAAUUCAGUUGGAUAUUCCAAACUCAGAACAGCAUCAUCGGGCAUUUAUUGUCAAAGAAAUGAAUUAACUUCAAUACAAAUACUGUUGGAUCCAAUAUAUAUGCCGGAGUUCGCCACGCUGGAUGGGAACAUGAGAGGAACAGGAGGGGAACGAAGUUAGGGUUUGGAGGCUCCAGUGGGGGGCUGCAAAGGCAGGGGAGGGCAACUCGGUCAUCCUCUCUUUGUUGCAGUGCCAGAUCAAGCCCAGGCCCCUGCUGUAGCACCCGUCGGUAAGCCUGUGAGAGAGCUGUGUUCCUGCAAGCUCCGGCACCAUGGUGGCCGUCAAGAAGACCAAAAAGGCCCAAGAGUCCAUCAACAACAGGCUUGCCCUGGUCAUGAAGUCCGGCAAGUACACGCUGGGCUACACCACCACACUCAAGUCGCUCCGGGGCGGCAAGGGCAAGCUCGUCAUUAUAGCCAACAACUGCCCACCUCUUCGAAAGUCCGAAAUCGAAUACUACGCCAUGCUCUCCAAGACCGGUGUGCACCACUACAGCGGCAACAACGUGGACCUGGGAACCGCCUGCGGGAAGUACUUCCGCGUGUGCACUUUGAGUAUCACGGACCCUGGUGAUUCUGACAUCAUCCGCUCCAUGCCUACUUCUACUGAAUAGAAGAACAUGGGCAGGGGAGAUGGGAGAUGCGGCGGACGUCGGUAGCUGGUGCUUAUCUCGGUAUGCAGAUUUCCUUGGUGUGAACGGAAAGUUUUGGGUCGUGGGGUGAGAUGGGGAAUUUAAAGCUCGUCUUUGAUGCCGUCACUUGGUUAGGUCGUUAGAAUUUGGGAUGUUGUGAGUGAUAGAGCUACUAAAGGGUUCAGG
RNAcentral lists this long non-coding RNA (1226 nucleotides) under Physcomitrium patens. RNAcentral's name for it is "long non-coding RNA (PPAT_LNC009646)". Lineage: Eukaryota; Viridiplantae; Streptophyta; Bryopsida; Funariales; Funariaceae. The record is from RNAcentral.